UCACCCCCCCUCCCAAAGCCCACGUCCCCGAGCAGCCCCCGAACGGCUCGCAGGGGCCGCAGCCCGCCCCUCCCCGCAGGCAGUGGCCUCCUCACGCGGCGGGGCCGCUCCUCCCCGCGGGGCCGCCGAGUCAGCUGACGGCGGCGGCGGUUUCCAUCAUGGCCGCCCGGCCGGGGCGGCCGCCGGCGGGGCCGGGGCGGCGGAGAGGCGCGGCGGAGGCCCAGAUCCUGCUUCUCCUCUGGUUCGCGGGCGCAGCCGUGGAGGGAGCGGCGGGCAUGGAGCCGCCGCUCAAGUGCGACGAGCUGAGGCUGGGGCAAUAUAUGUGCGAUGAGCCUAAAAUAGACAAUAGUACACAAGAGCCAAUGAAUUGUACAAAUCACACAGCAUAUGUUCAAUGUCUGCCAGCGCCAAAUAUUACUUGCAAAGAUCACCUUGGCAUAGAAAAAGUCUUUACAGGACAUGAAGUGGGAUUUUACAAGCCUAUUGAGUGUCGCAAUGUAAAUGGAUACUCCUACAAAGUCGCAGUGGCUCUGUCCUUAUUUCUUGGAUGGUUGGGAGCAGAUAGAUUUUAUCUAGGCUAUCCUGCAUUAGGUUUGUUAAAGUUCUGCACUGUAGGAUUUUGUGGAAUUGGUAGCCUAAUUGAUUUCAUACUUAUUUCAAUGCAGAUCGUUGGACCUUCCGAUGGCUCUAGUUAUAUUAUAGAUUACUAUGGAGCAAGGCUUACGCGGCUCACUAUUACCAAUGCAACAUUCAGGAAAAUGCAGACCUAUCCUUAACCCUGGCAGUAAGUGUCACAAAUGCAUAGGUGCAUUUUAUUUUUGCAGAUGGAGCCAGUCGUCCACUGAAAUUGCUGAUGACUUAAUUACGCUUCAUCAGAACUGAAUAUUAAAUGUACAUUAAACAAAGAUGAUAAAAUAUGAAAAUUCCUCAAGUUCACUUAAGUUUACCUCAGAGGCGCUGACUUUCUGUGUGAGUGCUCUAUUUCUGUGAGCACAUAGUUUGUUACUAAGUUGUACCAUUUGUGAAAUGUGCAGACUUCUACAGUUUGCACUGAUGUUCCGUAAGUAUAAUUUAGAGUAUUAUAGAGAGGUGGAGAAAGAGUUGUUCAGAACAGCAAUGCUGAUCUUCAGUCCGUCAAACUGUCUGUUGAGGGUUUUAGCAUGGAUGGGCCAGGAUUACACUUUUUUUUCUGAAAAGAAAUUGAUGCACGUGUUUUAAGCUACAGAAUGUCCAAGAAUUGAAUUCUUUGUACUCAUAAAGCCUUUAAAAGGUUCUUAUUUUAGAUCAGUUGUGUUUCAGUGAAGUAAAUUCUGUGUUCUGAAAGUUCUUUGACCAAAGUCUUUAGGACAAGCAAGAUUUACCUAGAUGUUCCUUUAAAGAAAAGUAUAUAUGCACAGAGACAGAAAACAUGUUAACAGAAUCUUCACGUUACUUGACCAAUUUUAAGCAUUCCCUUCACCUUCUAAUGAAAACUGGCAGUAACUGAGUGAGAAAUCCAUGCAAUCUGAACUUUAGUGUAGAUUUUUUUCAGAAAUGUGGGCUAUUCUUUUGGGUUUGAGAUGAAACUUUCAAAAUGUUAUAAAUGUGUCCACAAGUGGUAUUUUUAAGGAAAUUACAAAAAAUGAGAUUCCUGAAUAGAUUUUUAAAAGUGCAAUUUGUGAGUUUUAAUCUCUUUCAAAUCUACAUUAGGACUGGUGCACAGAAAGCUUUGUAAAGAAAUCCUUUUUUUCCAUAUCGGUGUAACCUGACAUAUCACAUAAUGAGAAUAAGCACAAAGUAUUACUUGUGGUUUAACAUUAAUUCUUUCCUUCAUGCAAGAAAGACAUAGUUUUGGAAUACUUGCUAACAUGUAUUUACUUGUGGGUUCAAAGAGACAAGAACACCAUUAGCUUCAUUCACUUGCCUGAUACUUGUUACAUCUCCCUUUUGUCUCUUUCACUGAAUGCUCUUUGUGCAUGUCAGUUUUGUUUCCUGAAAUACUUUGAAAAACAGACAGGAAGUGGAUGGAAAAUAAAUGUUUGGAUCAAAUAAAAUCUCAUGAGUCUUCCUCAAAGUUCCUUGGAUUUACCAUGGGGAAAACAUGGCAAGAACAUGUAGGAGGAGAUUACUGCCUGUAAAGAACUGACUGAAUGUUCACCUUGAGCCUGACGAGACUGCCCACCAUAUGGAUUGUGUUGGCAGAGGCAGAAGCCUGGGGAAUGCAGAGGUGGGGGGUAGUUUUUAGGGCUUUCAUUCCAUGGUCCCAUUGAUUAUAACGUUAUUAAGAGGAAGAUGCAUGCGACUUUUAAGUUAUUUUGUUAACUAAGUGUAAGCAAUGGAUGUGUCAUGCUAACAAACAUAAUUGCUGGUGUGUCUAAUACAGUAUGUAAGUGCAGUAUAGUGAAUUUAAAAGGUUGUGGUAAUCUAAGAAUGUUAAAAGGGAAAUGUGUGCCUGGGGGGGUGUGGGGGCUGGGGAGAAAAACGACUUACUUGACAUUCACUGUCUUCCUCUCAGCUCCUUUGCUAAAGUAGGAACAGAAUCGGAACAAAAAAAUGUUUGUUUUACAGCUGUACCAAGUUACGGCGUGGACUCGUGCUCCCCCCCUCCUCUCCCACUUGCAUCAAGUACAUCCUGUACUUUUGGCAACAUGUUGACUGGAUAUUUAAAAGCUGUGAACUGCUCUGAAAGUUUCACAUACUGGGUUAUGGGCCAUGUGUGUUUGAUCAAAAUUCAAUUACUGCACUGUACCAUGCUUGGAAACCUAUCAUCCCAAGUUAUGAAGUAUGACGAAAUAGGCUAAUCUAAUUGGUUCAGUAUGGGAGCAGUAUCAACCAAGCUUGUUAUGAUAAAUAGCUUCCUGUGUUAAAGGUUCUCUAGAGCUUAAGUAUCUUGGCUCACCUCCCUCUACAAAAUAAGAAUAGUGUUCCCUGGGAACAGUUACAUCACUGUCCCUCUCCUACAUUCACAAUUAAAGGUUUGUGGAUUUUUUUUUCAUCUUGCUGUUCCUUGAAUAGAUAAACCAUGGCCAUCUACCCCAUUCCCCACUUCCAUCUCCUUCCCUUCUCCUCAGGUUAGGUUGUGCCAGCCUUACCGUGAGUCCGCCUGUUCCGUUUCGGGGCUAGGUAAGGCGAGCUUGACCAGGAUGCCAAAACCCACCCUGGGCCGGAGGCUGGGGUUGGUGUGCUGCCACGUCAGUACGUGUGACAUGUCUGUUUAUAAAAAGAAUUGAAAUAUUUGGUGUUUAGUUAAACUUCAAAGCACUUGUCUAUGCAUCUAAUAAAAGAAGUAUUGUAUAGUGAA
Molecule: RNA transcript, 3280 nt
Organism: Falco peregrinus (peregrine falcon)
Lineage: Eukaryota; Metazoa; Chordata; Aves; Falconiformes; Falconidae
Gene: TM2D1
Gene name: TM2 domain containing 1
Exons: 7
Source: RefSeq, a predicted model, not a curated record